RNAcentral lists this unclassified non-coding RNA (341 nucleotides) under soil metagenome. RNAcentral's name for it is "partial contains 5.8S ribosomal RNA, internal transcribed spacer 2, and large subunit ribosomal RNA". The stretch from base 1 to 120 matches the Rfam family "5.8S ribosomal RNA", at positions 35 to 154 of the family's 154-position model. The record is from RNAcentral.
GAUGAAGAACGCAGCGAAAUGCGAUAAGUAGUGUGAAUUGCAGAAUUCAGUGAAUCAUCGAAUCUUUGAACGCACAUUGCGCCCUUUGGUAUUCCAAAGGGCACGCCUGUUCGAGCGUCAUUUGUACCCUCAAGCUUUGCUUGGUGUUGGGCGUCUUGUCUCUAGCUUUGCUGGAGACUCGCCUUAAAGUAAUUGGCAGCCGGCCUACUGGUUUCGGAGCGCAGCACAAGUCGCACUCUCUAUCAGCAAAGGUCUAGCAUCCAUUAAGCCUUUUUUUCAACUUUUGACCUCGGAUCAGGUAGGGAUACCCGCUGAACUUAAGCAUAUCAAUAAGCGGAGGA